Molecule: long non-coding RNA, 2821 nt
Organism: Ziziphus jujuba (common jujube)
Lineage: Eukaryota; Viridiplantae; Streptophyta; Magnoliopsida; Rosales; Rhamnaceae
Exons: 2
Source: RefSeq, a predicted model, not a curated record
UAUUCAAAUCAUCUUUUGACAUAAAUUUAGGUUGUGCAAUCGCUCAUAUACAUUUAACAUUCAUAUAUUCUAUUUGUAAUAUUGCUCCACAUUAGUGCAAUUGUUAGAUCUAUGUAAAAUUUAGGUAAAAUUGUGGUUUGCUCUUUACCAUUGACCAUUAACAUCUAAAGCAUGUGGUGUUUGAGGUUCUUUAUUUGCUGCCAAUUAUCUUUUAUUUAUGGUUUUGUGAUUGUAAUCUUUAGAUUUAUUUGUGUACUUCUUAACCUAUGGUUGCUGGCAAUGAGUAUAUUUUUUUAUUGUGUUAAUUGAAAAGCUAAUUGAUUAAGAGUAAGUAACUUAGGAUAGUAUAGUGCAGCAGCUAGAUUUUAGAUUACAAGCUUGAGAAAUAGUAAAAAUCAUGUCUUCAUCUAUAACCUAAGUAAUUUAUCCAACCAUAUUCUGUUCAUGUACAUGAAGAAGCCUAAAUAUUUUAAACUUAAAAGAAUGUUUUAAGUUAACUUUAUGAUUAUCAUCUAAUGGUUUGUAUAUCUUGAUAAGUUUCAAACUAUGAUCUAAAAUCUAGAAGAUAGGAUGGGGUUUAUGUUUGUUAAAUUUGAAUAUAAGAAGACAACAUGAUUCAACUUUGAAAGCAAAAUGUCUAAGUUUGUGAGUUUGUUUGAAUUUUAUAACUAAAAAGUAACUGCAAGUUAAAAGUGGCUUGUAAAAUUCCAAUGAAAUUAUAAGGUCACUAAAGUGACUUGAAUCACUUUCUUGAGAAAGUGGCACAUGCUUCCUACUAUGGCUCUAUUUUUUCAUACAUAACUAUAUAAAGAUUGGAAAGACUUGAUGUCUUGUGGUGAAAACUGCUAAACAUGGUUAUUAGGCCAUAAAAGUAAAUGAAACACUGCAUCAAAUAAACAUUUGGACUUAAUGACGGUUGUCAUACUUCUUUACUUUGUUUUCUUUUAUAUGAUUUACAUUUGUCAUCUGCAUUAUCUUGUUGCUUGCAGAGUUGGUAAUAUUCAUGAGAAUGUUUUGUUUGUUUUUCCCCCAAGAAAAUUGAAUAAGCUCCCAUAUACCAAAAAAAGAAUAGAAAACUUCAAUAAGCACCCUAUAUUUGAGAACUACCUGUAGUCAAAUAAUUUCACCAAUUCUUGCUAAUAUAUUCAUUUAACUUUAACUCGAACACACCAUAUAUAGUUAAUUUAAUAUUUAUGCUUCCUGAAGGAAAAAGGUUUAUAAUAUAAAUAGAUGCUAUGGUAAUCAUUAUUAAUGUCUUUUUAAGUGGUGGCAUUUUCAUUUAAAUUUUAUCAAGUUGCCAUAAUUCAUUGGGUUAUGACUUGUCCUUUGAAUUUAAUUUAGAAGACAAUUUUAUUCUUCAUUUCUAAGUUUGCCAGCUGAAAAUUUUUCUCGUCCUUUGUUGUAUUAUCAUGCUAAUAUGCUGUGCUUGGGCCAUAUGGAGCUUGUUCUUGCCAAAAAUACUGUAGUAAAAUAUCAUACUUCAUUUAAGCAUUUCAAAUAUAUUCAUGAUUCUAGCAAAUUCUUUAUUUGAUUUUGCAAAUGGAUGCAUAGGAGAAGGAAAGGAGCAUGGACUUGUAAUUCCAUAGUCACCUUGUUGGUUUGUUCUUUUAGCAAUAAGCUUUUAAUUGGCAAAAGACUCGAAGAACUUGAAGCUUGUGAAUUUAUAAUGUAUUUAAUUAUGCUAUUGUUAUUUACACUAUAUGUCUUGCAAUUUAUGGCUCAAUAUAUUGAAUCAAUGCAAGUAUCUUUUCUUUUAAGACUUUCAUUGUUUUACUACAAUUUGAUGAUUUUUUGGGUUAAAUUUUUUUAAAGAUAUUAUGGUAAUUGAUCUUGGUAUCAAUGUGAAAAUAGGAAUGGAAAAGAAGGUAGUUGGCCUAGUUCCAAAUGAUUUAAAACCAGGGAAUAUGCAAGAAAGGAACAAGGAUUUUGUUGGAUAAUUAUCAGUAACCAUUGUGGACGCUCGAAAGCUUUGUUAUUUCUUCUAUGCUAACAACUAUAUGCUUUUAUCUAUAUGUAUUUCACAAGAUAAUUACAUUAUGCUUUAUGUAUUAGUGAAAUUUAGCUACUUUUAGUCAUUGAUAUGUUUUCUCCUUUUAGAUUUUUAGCUGAUUUGUGGUUUGUUCGAAAUUUUGCAUCAUAUUAUUCUUGACUAGAUUGCAUUGAUAUUUAUGUACAUAUCUGGUUAAUAUUCACCCAAAUAUCUCUUGUUGGUUCCUCUUGAAGUUUUAGUUUGGAACUUUCUUUCCAGGCAAGACCGAUCCAUAUGUUAUUUACAGCCUAGGGGACCAAGCCAUAUGCAGCAAAAAGAACAGCCAAACCACAGUCAUUGGACCUCUUGGUGAACCAAUUUGGAAUCAGGUUGAUCUAGGAUCUCUCCAAGACACUCUGUCAAUAGACAAGAUUGUAGUGUUGCAAAGAGGCUAAGGACUUUUUAGAAAGAGUUCUUAUGGAGAAAUACUACUUCGACUGACAUAUAAAGCAUAUGUUGAGGAUGAAGAGGAUGACAAAGCUGAGGCGGAAUCCACUGACAUUGAUGCUUUGGAUUGUGAUGAUGAGUUACCUGAUUCUUAUGUGAAAGAAGAAACAGAGUAUUCUAAAGAAGCAGAUAAAGCGUCAUUCAUGGAUGUCUUAGCUGCUUUAAUUGUGAGUGAAGAAUUUCGAGGAAUAGUAGCAUCAUAAACUAGAACUACCAAAAUAUUGAGCUGUUGUCUAUUAUAAAUGUUGAGAGAUGGACUUCUCAUCGUGUAAAUGACCUGUAGUAAGUUUUAAGCUUUUGCAGCUUGAAUUCAAAUCCAGUAGCAAUUUCUGUUUUCAUUUUUUA